RNAcentral lists this ribosomal RNA (213 nucleotides) under Acinetobacter baumannii OIFC083. RNAcentral's name for it is "partial 16S ribosomal RNA". It matches the Rfam family "Bacterial small subunit ribosomal RNA", at positions 80 to 296 of the family's 1533-position model. Lineage: Bacteria; Pseudomonadati; Pseudomonadota; Gammaproteobacteria; Moraxellales; Moraxellaceae. The record is from RNAcentral.
UUGCUACCGGACCUAGCGGCGGACGGGUGAGUAAUGCUUAGGAAUCUGCCUAUUAGUGGGGGACAACAUCUCGAAAGGGAUGCUAAUACCGCAUACGUCCUACGGGAGAAAGCAGGGGAUCUUCGGACCUUGCGCUAAUAGAUGAGCCUAAGUCGGAUUAGCUAGUUGGUGGGGUAAAGGCCUACCAAGGCGACGAUCUGUAGCGGGUCUGAG